This 348-nucleotide ribosomal RNA is filed under the name uncultured bacterium. RNAcentral's name for it is "bacterial SSU rRNA". It matches the Rfam family "Bacterial small subunit ribosomal RNA", at positions 770 to 1119 of the family's 1533-position model. The record is from RNAcentral.
ACCCAAUAGAUACCCUGGUAGUCCACGCCGUAAACGAUGGAUGCUAGCUGUUAUCAGUAUCGACCCUGGUAGUAGCGAAAGCUAACGCGUUAAGCAUCCCGCCUGUGGAGUACGAGCGCAAGCUUAAAACAUAAAGGAAUUGACGGGGACCCGCACAAGCGGUGGAGCGUGUUGUUUAAUUCGAUGGUAAGCGAAGAACCUUACCCAGGCUUGACAUCCUGCUAAUUUCUCCGAAAGGAGAAAGUGCCUUCGGGCCGCAGUGACAGGUGUUGCAUGGCCGUCGUCAGCUCGUGUCGUGAGAUGUUUGGUUAAGUCCAUCAACGAGCGCAACCCUUUUGAAUAGUUGGA